RNAcentral lists this ribosomal RNA (253 nucleotides) under uncultured bacterium. RNAcentral describes it as "partial 16S ribosomal RNA". It matches the Rfam family "Bacterial small subunit ribosomal RNA", at positions 524 to 776 of the family's 1533-position model. The record is from RNAcentral.
UACAGAGGUCUCGAGCGUUAGGCGGAAUCACUGGGCUUAAAGCGUGUGUAGGCGGGUUGGUAAGUGUUUUGUGAAAUCCCAUGGCUUAACCAUGGAACUGCUGGGCAUACUGCCGAUCUUGUGCAACCUAGGGGCGAGCGGAACAGAUGGUGGAGCGGUGAAAUGCGUAGAUAUCAUCUGGAACGCCAAUGGUGAAAACAGCUCGCUGGGGGUUUGCAGACGCUGAGACACGAAAGCCAGGGGAGCGAACGGG